Callithrix jacchus (white-tufted-ear marmoset) is the source of this 2540-nucleotide non-coding RNA. NCBI's taxonomy places the organism in Eukaryota, Metazoa, Chordata, Mammalia, Primates, Cebidae. The record is from RefSeq and is a predicted model, not a curated record.
GGCCUGCGGGAGCUUAGACUUGCCUACAUCACAGAUCCCUGGAUCAGCACUGGCUUUCUAUCUAAGCUUCCCUGGUUUAGAUGCAAAAGAGACUCAUCUGUCCCAUCCACCCCUGCAUCCCCUGAGCCUCGUACAGUGCUCAUGCUGUGAACACAGUGAAGCAGAAUGAAUGACCUGAGGAAGUGCCAAUGGGAGGACCCAGAAUGACAGAGGGGCCAUGGGGAAACAGAAGCCAAGUGGGAGAGGGCAGAGGAGACUUAAGGUUCCUUGGGGACAGCCUUUGGAGGAAGAAUCUGUGCUCCAGUUACAAGAGGCACCUAAAGAAGCUCAGAAACAGAGGCUGCCCCUUCCAGAGCAUAACAGCCAGCUCAUCUCAGGACCUCAGUGUCCACAUCUGGCCGCUGCACCAGAUACUGGCCAAGGUCCCUCCCAAUAACAGCUUCUCACACACUAGGUCCUUCCAAACUGGUACCUGGGUGCAGAGGAGUGCUAUGCUCUGAAAUGUAUGAGGGUCUGGUCUGAAUUUGAACAUCAGUGGCAAAGAUGCUGAAGAACCCUACGGAUUCCACAAGGAAGUGGAUGACUUUGCAAAGAAAGCAAAGGAGGGGCGACAGCCAGGGCCAGCCUUAAUGAAGCCCUAACGAACUGAACAAGUUUCCACAAUUCAGGACAACAAUGGGAGAGGAACCAGUGGGGACCAGAAAACAAUCAAUGCCUUUGAUGAAGCAUUGCUGAUGAAAUUUCCCAUUGGUGCUUUAAUCUGGCUCCCCGGAGGUUGUCGGCUUUGCAGUAUCUUCAAGGAAAAUCAUCUCUUUUUUGAGACAGAGUCUUGCUCUGUCAUCCAGGCUGGAGUGCAGUGGUGUGAUCUCAGCUCACUGUAACCUCUGCCUCCAAGGUUCAAGUAAUUCUCAUGCCUCAGCCUCCCAAGUAGUUGGGAUUAUAGGCACUUAUCAGCACGUGCCACCACAUCCGGCUAGUAUCUGGAUUUUUAGUAGAGACGGCUACUGACCAGGCUGGUCUCGAACUCCUGGCCUCAAGUGAUCCACCCACCUCAGCCUCCCAAAGUGCUAGGAUUACAGGUGUGAGCCACUGUGCCCAGUCAGAAAAUCAUCUUGAAUGUACAUUAUACUCCACGUCACUACACAGAGAGCUUGGUCCUCCUGCUACUCCCGACCCCGACCCCUGCCCACCACAGUUUACCACGUAAGUCUUCAACGUCAGACAAUGGCAACCUCAAGACACUCAGUGGGUCCGCGCAUGGCUCUUUUCUGUACAAGACCGUCUUCCUCACCAGCUUUUGCACUCAGCAGGUAUAACUCUUUCAUCAGAGUCUCAGUAUACCAACAGCAUUCUGCACUUGGUGCUGAAGCCAGCCUCCUCGGGCUGGGACCCAUCUCUCACAAUGAUGAAGCCUCAAUAAACAUCAAAGCACUCUUCGGGAACUGGCUUGGUUUCAAUACGAGAGUGGAGUCCAUCCCAAGCUGACUCCAAGCCAACCUGGAUUCUGAGCCACUCUCAGUAUAAAUGGUCAAGAGCAAAACAAACUGUUUCCACACUGCUCCAAAGCUGAGCUGUGCCCAGCGUUCACACCUAUAGUUCCCUGAAUGCUGUUCUGCCUGCCUGCAUUAGCACCUGCUGCUCCCUGUCUGAAAUGCUGUUCCCAGUGCUGGCCUUCAAAACUCGGUUUAAACUGUCACCUUCUCUAUAAAGCCUUUCCCAUCCCCUCCAGGCAGAGUCUGUUUGGUUCAAUAGUUCCUGAGGGUGUGAGUCCAGCGAGGUCCUGUGCUUCAAAUGAAGUGCAGGGAGGAGAAACGUAUUUGGCCAUACCUUCCCAGGCUAGAGUUUCCAAAUAACCCCUUACUUGAAAAUCUAUUUAAAAAUUUUUACUGUAUGAUAUUUAAGAUGUAUAAAAAAUGGGCCAGGUACAGUGGCUUACGCCUAUAAUCCCAGCACUUUGGGGGCCAGGGCGGGCAGAUCACUUGAGGUCAGAAGUUUGAGACCAGCCUGGCCAACAUGGCGAAACCCCAUCUCUACUAAAAAUACAAAAAUUAGCCAGGCCUGGUGGAACACGCCUGUUGUCCCAGCUAUUCGGGAGGCUGAGGCAUGAGAAUUACUUGAACCUGGGAGGCAGAGGUUACAAUGAGCCAAAAUCAUGCCACUGCACCCCAGCGUGGGCAACAGAGUGAGACUCCAUCUCAAAAAAAAAAAAAAUGUACAGGCCAGGCACAGUGGCUUACACCUGUAAACCCUGCACUUUGGAAGGCUGAGGGAGGCUGAUCAUGAGGUCAGGAGAUCGAGACCAUCCUGACUAACACAGUAAAACCCCAUCUCUACUAAAAAUACAAAAAAUUAGUCGAGUGUGGUGGCACGUGCCUGUAAUCCCAGCUACUCAGGAGGCUGAAGCAGGAGAAUCGCUUGAACCCGGAGGCAGAGUUGCAGUGAGACAAGAUUGCGCCACCGCACUGGUAAGAGCGAGACUCCAUCUCAAAAAAGAUGUAUAAGGAAUAAGAGAAUAAUAAAAGCACUUCUUGUGCCCACCA